This 743-nucleotide ribosomal RNA is filed under the name uncultured bacterium. RNAcentral describes it as "bacterial SSU rRNA". It matches the Rfam family "Bacterial small subunit ribosomal RNA", at positions 62 to 823 of the family's 1533-position model. The record is from RNAcentral.
CCGAACGGUGGGUGUUGAACUUAAUUUAGUGGCGGACGGGUGAGUAACGCGUGAGUAACCUGCCUUUCAGAGGGGGAUAACGUCUGGAAACGGACGCUAAUACCGCAUGACAUAUCUUGGUCGCAUGGCCGGGAUAUCAAAGGAGCAAUCCGCUGAAAGAUGGACUCGCGUCCGAUUAGCUAGUUGGUGAGAUAAAGGCCCACCAAGGCGACGAUCGGUAGCCGGACUGAGAGGUUGAACGGCCACAUUGGGACUGAGACACGGCCCAGACUCCUACGGGAGGCAGCAGUGGGGGAUAUUGCACAAUGGAGGAAACUCUGAUGCAGCAACGCCGCGUGAGGGAAGACGGUUUUCGGAUUGUAAACCUCUGUCCUUGGUGACGAAAAAAAUGACGGUAGCCAAGGAGGAAGCUCCGGCUAACUACGUGCCAGCAGCCGCGGUAAUACGUAGGGAGCAAGCGUUGUCCGGAUUUACUGGGUGUAAAGGGUGCGUAGGCGGCACUGCAAGUCAGGCGUGAAAUAUAUGGGCUUAACCCAUAGACUGCGUUUGAAACUGUGGUGCUUGAGUGAAGUAGAGGUAGGCGGAAUUCCCGGUGUAGCGGUGAAAUGCGUAGAGAUCGGGAGGAACACCAGUGGCGAAGGCGGCUUACUGGGCUUUAACUGACGCUGAGGCACGAAAGCAUGGGUAGCAAACAGGAUUAGAUACCCUGGUAGUCCAUGCCGUAAACGAUGAUUACUAGGUGU